This is a long non-coding RNA of Populus trichocarpa (black cottonwood), 564 nucleotides long. RefSeq lists it as uncharacterized. The transcript is spliced from 2 exons. NCBI's taxonomy places the organism in Eukaryota, Viridiplantae, Streptophyta, Magnoliopsida, Malpighiales, Salicaceae. The record is from RefSeq and is a predicted model, not a curated record.
UUCAUAUGUAGUCGUUAUUCUCCUCCUCCGUUCUCCAUCCAUCGACUAAAAGCACUCAGCAGCAAUGCCUCCACCACCGCCAUCAACAUCGCUUUCAACAGCAGCAGCAGCAGAAACAACACCAGCAACAUCGCUUUCAAUUCCGUUGUAGAGUUGGCAGGUCACUGCUGUGUACGAGAACCAUAUCAAAGAUUCCUAUUGAAGAUGGAGAUGAUACUAAACCAAGAAUGGAAGUGAGAUUAGUUAAUAGUUGCCAGCAUGAUUAAAAUCAUACAUGAAUGUUGGUGUGUGAGGGGAUGUAUUUGCUCUGUAUUUAAUUCCAUGAAAAAUCAUAGCUUCCCUACUUGGUGUUUAGAGUUUUAUCCCCAGAAUUGUGUUUUGGGAAGCACCAGAGUUCUUAAGACAUGCAUGGUUUUGAUCUAGAAAUGUCCUUGCCACAGCCACUUAAGAAGAAGUUCCAUCACAUGAAUACCUUCAUGUCAGCAAAUCCAAGCUCCGACAACUCCCUCACUCUAUCAAUGUAUCCUGGAUAAUAAUAAUAAAGAAAUUAAUUUUGGUUUAAUC